AUUUUUCAGUCUAGGUGACGCUUUUCAGACGGGUUAAUUAAGAUAAGGUGGUCCUACUUUAUUUAUUUUAAGGGCCGGAGAUCCUGGGCCGUCAUGCUUUGUUGACAUCUCUCAAAUGGGCCCUUUGGUCUGGUCUCCGUAAUGGGUUCGACCCAAAAUUUCCCGGGUCAAGUCGCAGAUGAAACCCUAAAACACAGGAGUUGAAUUCUGAAGAUCGAGAACACGAAUCUCACAAAUUACACCUCGAUUUCGAAGGCUCCAAAAUGUUUGGACGCAGAAGAUUUCUAUCUUUCCCUUUGGUGAUCGGAGCAGUCGUGAUUGGAGUUGUUUCUGGGAAGGCAAUAUUUGGACCCCCACUUGAUGAAUACUGGAAAAAGAAGCUCCAGGAAGAGGCAGCAGCCAAGGAGACUGAUGCAAGCUCCAGGUAGCAAAUUUAGGUUGUUCAACAUUUUUGGUUGUUUUAAAAAGUUGCAGAACAGGGAUGAUCGUAUUCUUUCAUCCCAGUAUUCUUUCUAAAGAGGCUCUUAUAGAUUCAUGUGUUUAUUGUAUCUGAUGUUUUUCAGUAUAAAAAUUAGAAUGGCGUGGAAGCCAAUACUUGUGAUUCUAAA
Molecule: long non-coding RNA, 608 nt
Organism: Vitis vinifera (wine grape)
Lineage: Eukaryota; Viridiplantae; Streptophyta; Magnoliopsida; Vitales; Vitaceae
Exons: 2
Source: RefSeq, a predicted model, not a curated record